UGCUGCUUUGCUGACGAGUGGCGGACGGGUGAGUAAUGUCUGGGAAACUGCCUGAUGGAGGGGGAUAACUACUGGAAACGGUGGCUAAUACCGCAUAACGUCGCAAGACCAAAGAGGGGGACCUUCGGGCCUCUUGCCAUCAGAUGUGCCCAGAUGGGAUUAGCUUGUUGGUGAGGUAACGGCUCACCAAGGCGACGAUCCCUAGCUGGUCUGAGAGGAUGACCAGCCACACUGGAACUGAGACACGGUCCAGACUCCUACGGGAGGCAGCAGUGGGGAAUAUUGCACAAUGGGCGCAAGCCUGAUGCAGCCAUGCCGCGUGUAUGAAGAAGGCCUUCGGGUUGUAAAGUACUUUCAGCGGGGAGGAAGGUGUUGCGGUUAAUAACCGCAGCAAUUGACGUUACCCGCAGAAGAAGCACCGGCUAACUCCGUGCCAGCAGCCGCGGUAAUACGGAGGGUGCAAGCGUUAAUCGGAAUUACUGGGCGUAAAGCGCACGCAGGCGGUCUGUCAAGUCGGAUGUGAAAUCCCCGGGCUCAACCUGGGAACUGCAUUCGAAACUGGCAGGCUUGAGUCUUGUAGAGGGGGGUAGAAUUCCAGGUGUAGCGGUGAAAUGCGUAGAGAUCUGGAGGAAUACCGGUGGCGAAGGCGGCCCCCUGGACAAAGACUGACGCUCAGGUGCGAAAGCGAGGGGAGCAAACAGGAUUAGAUACCCUGGUAGUCCACGCCGUANACGAUGUCUACUUGGAGGUUGUGCCCUUGAGGCGUGGCUUCCGG
This 775-nucleotide ribosomal RNA is filed under the name uncultured bacterium. Its description in RNAcentral is "bacterial SSU rRNA". It matches the Rfam family "Bacterial small subunit ribosomal RNA", at positions 78 to 849 of the family's 1533-position model. The record is from RNAcentral.